ACUCAAAUGAAUUGACGGGGGCCCGCACAAGCGGUGGAGCAUGUGGUUUAAUUCGAUGCAACGCGAAGAACCUUACCAAGGUUUGACAUCCCGUGAAUCUGGUGGAAACACCGGAGUGCCGCAAGGAGCACGGUGACAGGUGGUGCAUGGCUGUCGUCAGCUCGUGUCGUGAGAUGUUGGGUUAAGUCCCGCAACGAGCGCAACCCUCGAUGUUAGUUGCCAACGGGUUAUGCCGGGCACUCUAGCGUGACUGCCGGUGACAAACCGGAGGAAGGUGGGGAUGACGUCAAGUCAUCAUGCCCCUUAUGCCUUGGGCUACACACGUGCUACAAUGGCCAGGACAGUAGGUUGCAAUGCCGCGAGGUGGAGCCAAUCCCUAAACCUGGUCUCAGUUCGGAUUGCAGGCUGCAACUCGCCUGCAUGAAGGCGGAAUCGCUAGUAACCGCAGGUCAGCAUACUGCGGUGAAUACGUUCCCGGGCCUUGUACACACCGCCCGU
This 498-nucleotide ribosomal RNA is filed under the name uncultured bacterium. RNAcentral describes it as "partial 16S ribosomal RNA". It matches the Rfam family "Bacterial small subunit ribosomal RNA", at positions 899 to 1397 of the family's 1533-position model. The record is from RNAcentral.